Molecule: non-coding RNA, 114 nt
Organism: Acanthosepion pharaonis
Lineage: Eukaryota; Metazoa; Mollusca; Cephalopoda; Sepiida; Sepiidae
Source: the annotation of a GenBank genome assembly
CUUGCGGUCACAUCACGUUGAAACACUGGUGCCAGUACGAUCACCGAAGUUAAGCAAUGUCGAGCCAGGUCAAUACCUAGAUGAGUGACCAAUUCGGAAUACUUGGUGCUGUAA